AUACACCCAACUUGUCGAGCGGAACGGCAGUAUUGAAGCUUCGGUGGAUUUACUGGACGUCGAGCGGCGGACGGGUGAGUAACGGCUGGGAACCUGCCCUGACGAGGGGGAUAACCGUUGGAAACGACGGCUAAUACCGCAUAAUGUCUACGGACCAAAGGUGGCCUCUACAUGUAAGCUAUCGCGUCGGGAUGGGCCCAGUUAGGAUUAGCUAGUUGGUAAGGUAAUGGCUUACCAAGGCGACGAUCCUUAGCUGGUUUGAGAGGAUGAUCAGCCACACUGGGACUGAGACACGGCCCAGACUCCUACGGGAGGCAGCAGUGGGGAAUAUUGCACAAUGGGGGAGACCCUGAUGCAGCCAUGCCGCGUGUGUGAAGAAGGCCUUCGGGUUGUAAAGCACUUUCAGCAGUGAGGAAGGUAGUGUACUUAAUACGUGCAUUGCUUGACGUUAGCUGCAGAAGAAGCACCGGCUAACUCCGUGCCAGCAGCCGCGGUAAUACGGAGGGUGCGAGCGUUAAUCGGAAUUACUGGGCGUAAAGCGCAUGCAGGCGGUUUGUUAAGUCAGAUGUGAAAGCCCGGGGCUCAACCUCGGAACCGCAUUUGAAACUGGCAGGCUAGAGUCUUGUAGAGGGGGGUAGAAUUUCAGGUGUAGCGGUGAAAUGCGUAGAGAUCUGAAGGAAUACCAGUGGCGAAGGCGGCCCCCUGGACAAAGACUGACGCUCAGAUGCGAAAGCGUGGGUAGCAAACAGGAUUAGAUACCCUGGUAGUCCACGCCGUAAACGAUGUCUACUUGGAGGCUG
RNAcentral lists this ribosomal RNA (800 nucleotides) under Salinivibrio sp. JSM 074068. Its description in RNAcentral is "bacterial SSU rRNA". It matches the Rfam family "Bacterial small subunit ribosomal RNA", at positions 51 to 826 of the family's 1533-position model. Lineage: Bacteria; Pseudomonadati; Pseudomonadota; Gammaproteobacteria; Vibrionales; Vibrionaceae. The record is from RNAcentral.